GUCUUUUUAUAUGUUGUUAGUAUUUGCAUUACAGUAUUGAGGCGAAUCGCGGGUUUUCUGUGGUCUAUAUUAUUUAAAACGUUGUUCUGUGCUUGCUUUUUGUCGUAGCUAUGAUAUAACUGCUGCAUAUUAUAAUUGUUUAUAGAAAUUGUCUAACUGAUGUGUACCCCAAAUUAUCUUAAACUUAUACCUAGUUAUACCUAGUUAUAGAUUUGUUUGUUUUCUUGUUUCUGAAAGUUUAAAUUAAAAAAAAAACCAGUGGUUGUCAUUUCUUUUAGUUGUUAGGAGCGACACAUAUUCUGAGGGUUUAGAUGGGGUUAAAUGAUUAAAGAAUAAUGCCCUUAAAAAUGAUGAUUAGAGAAUAAAGGGCAAAAAAAAUGAAGAUUAGAGAAAAAAGGGGUUAAUUUUUUGAAGAUUAGAGAAAAAAGGGGUGAAAAUUAAAUGUUUACAGAAUAACAGACCCCCCCC
Molecule: long non-coding RNA, 468 nt
Filed under: Mytilus galloprovincialis (Mediterranean mussel)
Lineage: Eukaryota; Metazoa; Mollusca; Bivalvia; Mytilida; Mytilidae
Source: RNAcentral